This 512-nucleotide ribosomal RNA is filed under the name uncultured Sphingobacterium sp. RNAcentral's name for it is "bacterial SSU rRNA". It matches the Rfam family "Bacterial small subunit ribosomal RNA", at positions 9 to 513 of the family's 1533-position model. Lineage: Bacteria; Pseudomonadati; Bacteroidota; Sphingobacteriia; Sphingobacteriales; Sphingobacteriaceae. The record is from RNAcentral.
GAGUUUGAUCUUGGCUCAGGAUGAACGCUAGCGGCAGGCUUAAUACAUGCAAGUCGAGGGGCAGCAUGGUGUAGCAAUACACUGAUGGCGACCGGCAAACGGGUGCGGAACACGUACGCAAUCUACCCAAAACUGAUGAAUAGCCCUCCGAAAGGAGGAUUAAUACAUCGUAACAUAAUGAAGUGGCAUCGCUUUAUUAUUAUAGCUCCGGCGGUUUUGGAUGAGCGUGCGACUGAUUAGGUAGUUGGCGGGGUAACGGCCCACCAAGCCUACGAUCAGUAACUGGUGUGAGAGCACGACCAGUCACACGGGCACUGAGACACGGGCCCGACUCCUACGGGAGGCAGCAGUAAGGAAUAUUGGUCAAUGGACGCAAGUCUGAACCAGCCAUGCCGCGUGAAGGAUGAAGGUCCUCUGGAUUGUAAACUUCUUUUAUAUGGGAAGAAAUCCCCGGAAUUCUUUCUGGGUUGACGGUACCAUAGGAAUAAGCACCGGCUAACUCCGUGCCAGCA